AACAGCCUAGUCGAACCUUUGCCGCUUCAAGAGUAAACAGUUCCUUAGUAAAGUUCCUGUUGUUUAAUACCAGUCUCCAGGUCCUUCUAGGAACACAACAGAGGUAGACCUACAACAAAUUUGUGUGGUGCAUCUUGUAGAUGAAAUACACUGCUGCUACUGUGCAUCAGUGGUGGAGAAAGUGAAUUUUUGUAGAUGUGUUGCCUGUGAAGUGGGCUGCUUUCUCCUGGAUGGUGUCAACCUUCUUGAAUGUUGUUGGAGCUGCACUCGUUCAGGACAAUGAAGAUGAAGACUUUAGUUUCUAAGCAACUCUUAGACAUCUUAUGCGUACCACCAGGAAAUGAACAGGAGCAAGUUGCCAUAAAUAGCAGAGAACAUUAAAUCAACAAAGAAUUAUUAGAAAACAACAUUACAGAUAGAAGCAUUACUGUUGCAAAAAAUGAUAUUCAAAGAAAAAAAAUCACGUAGCACUGGCUUACAAACCAAAGAUGAUGUACAGUGAAGUCAAAGAGACGUCUUUACCUCCAAAACAGCAUCAAGUGCAAGAGAAACUUGGAAACUUUUCAAUAGUUUGUCAUACUUCUUCAGGAUGCCCCAGACAAGGGGAUGGCAUGAAGGUGUGUUGGACUCUGCCCAGCGAUAUGCCAGAUGAUGGUCCCCAUGGCGACAGGAAGUUCAGGUCAAGACUUAGCAAAACCAAGUGGUACACUUCACACUUGAACACAGAGUGGGCGAGCUGUUCUUGUUUGUGUAGACUUCCAGGCAGUCUGAUUAAAAAGAAAUCUGAACACAGAGUGAUUGAUUCUUCUUAAGAGAGAGAAUGAUCAGCAGAGGAUAAACAGCUGAUUUUGUCUGUUAACUUCCAAACAGAAUGCAGAUAGUAAGGUGAGAAGACAGAACCUGUGGAAAUUUAAGGACCUGGAAAGAUUUAACCUGUUGAGGCCACAGAAAAGCAUGUUUAAGUGAGCCAUACAGCUGGAGAUGUUUCCAGAAUUCUCAGAAUACUAAGAAGAAGUUUUGAUGGUCACUAGACAUUACAGCGCAGCACAACAGGCAGGGGCGAGUACAUUGGAAGUGGAGAACAAUUUUGGACUGUUCCUAUAAAGACUGCAAUUAUGCAGAAACUGAAGAAAUAUGUAUAAAUGCAGCUUGGGAUGACUGUGUUGUAAUGCUAAUAGGGGAUGUUUUUGCAAUAAUUUAGGAUUUUAAUGGGGUUAGGAUUAGGUUAGAGUUUGGCAACAUAAUGUUUAGCUAAUGUUGAAUUUAGCUUACUUGCUAGAAUAAAGUCUUACAAGUUAA
Long non-coding RNA from Rhincodon typus (whale shark), 1299 nucleotides. RefSeq lists it as uncharacterized. The record is from RefSeq and is a predicted model, not a curated record. The transcript has 4 exons. NCBI's taxonomy places the organism in Eukaryota, Metazoa, Chordata, Chondrichthyes, Orectolobiformes, Rhincodontidae.